This 253-nucleotide ribosomal RNA is filed under the name uncultured bacterium. RNAcentral's name for it is "partial 16S ribosomal RNA". It matches the Rfam family "Bacterial small subunit ribosomal RNA", at positions 524 to 776 of the family's 1533-position model. The record is from RNAcentral.
UACAGAGGUCUCGAGCGUUAGGCGGAAUCACUGGGCUUAAAGCGUGUGUAGGUGGAUGCCUAAGUACCUUGUGAAAUCCCACAGCUUAACUGUGGAACUGCUUGGUAUACUGGGUGUCUUGAGUCACUCAGGGGCGAGCGGAACAAAUGGUGGAGCGGUGAAAUGCGUAGAUAUCAGGAGGAACACCGGUGGCGAAGGCGGGUCUCUGGGCCGAUACUGACGCUGAGGAGCGAAAGCGUGGGGAGCGAACAGG